ACGAACGCUGGCGGCGUGCUUAACACAUGCCAGUCGAACGGAAAGGCCCUGCUUUUGUGGGGUGCUCGGGUGGCGAACGGGUGAGUAACACGUGAGUUACCUGCCCUUGACUUUGGGAUAACUUCCGGAAACUGGGGCUAAUACCGGAUAGGAGCUCCUGCUGCCUGGUGGGGGUUGGAAAGUUUCGGCGGUUGGGGAUGGACUCGCGGCUUAUCAGCUUGUUGGUGGGGUAGUGGCUUACCAAGGCUUUGACGGGUAGCCGGCCUGAGAGGGUGACCGGCCACAUUGGGACUGAGAUACGGCCCAGACUCCUACGGGAGGCAGCAGUGGGGAAUAUUGCACAAUGGGCGGAAGCCUGAUGCAGCAACGCCGCGUGCGGGAUGACGGCCUUCGGGUUGUAAACCGCUUUCGCCUGUGACGAAGCGUGAGUGACGGUAAUGGGUAAAGAAGCACCGGCUAACUACGUG
Molecule: ribosomal RNA, 467 nt
Filed under: uncultured bacterium
Lineage: Bacteria
Description: partial 16S ribosomal RNA
Rfam family: Bacterial small subunit ribosomal RNA
Source: RNAcentral